RNAcentral lists this ribosomal RNA (492 nucleotides) under uncultured bacterium. RNAcentral describes it as "partial 16S ribosomal RNA". It matches the Rfam family "Bacterial small subunit ribosomal RNA", at positions 29 to 507 of the family's 1533-position model. The record is from RNAcentral.
AUUGAACGCUGGCGGCAUGCUUUACACAUGCAAGUCGAACGGUAACAGGCCUUCGGGUGCUGACGAGUGGCGGACGGGUGAGUAAUGCAUCGGAACGUACCCAGAGGUGGGGGAUAACGCAGCUAAAGCUGUGCUAAUACCGCAUGUGAUCUGAGGAUGAAAGCGGGGGACCGAGCAGCAAUGUUUGGCCUCGCGCCUUUGGAGCGGCCGAUGUCGGAUUGGCUAGUUGGUGGGGUAAAGGCCUACCAAGGCGACGAUCCGUAGCUGGUCGGAGAGGCCGAUCAGCGACACGGGGACUGAGACACGGACAAGAGUCCUACGGGAGGCAGCAGUGGGGAAUUGUGGACAAUGGGCGCAAGCCUGAUCCAGCAAUGCCGCGUGCGGGAAGAAGGCCUUCGGGUUGUAAACCGCUUUUGGCAGGAACGAAACGGUGUCCGCUAAUACCGGGCGCUAAUGACGGUACCUGCAGAAUAAGCACCGGCUAACUACGUG